UAGGAGUUACGGAAUUGGUUAUUUCUGGGAAUGGGGAUGUGGGGCGUUAUUUAAGGGGGAAUUUCAUGGUUAAAGCGUUCUAUAGUGCUUCUGAAUCAGCCUCAGUAUUCAAUGACGACGAAAACAACCGACACCGAAGUUCGACGACGAACAUAACGAACGCCGCCGCCGCCGUUGCCGCUGCCGCUGACAAAACCAACUCGACAACGACUUUUAUACGUAUCUAUAGUUCGCACGAGUUGGAAAGCCAAGAAGAAGAAUGAAUACAAGAAGGCAGCUCUUGGGCUUGGGCUGGGUCUGAUGGUCUGAGAGUCUGAGAGUUUAAGGGUCUUGGCUUUUUCUGUAACGCGUUGCGGGAACUUGGCAUCCAUUAAUGAGUAAAGUGGAAGGAAGGAAGAAAACUUUUCUUCGGCUUUUCGUCUUUCACUAUACCAUCACCAUCACCAUCAGAAGCAUCAGUACCAUCACCCAGAAGGCAAUCUUAUUGUCUUCUUCUUAUUCUUGUUGUUUUUGUUUUUGUUGUUGUUGUUUUUGUGGAAAAGCAUGAAUAAAAUAUAAUAUGAACGAACA
This is a long non-coding RNA of Eupeodes corollae, 570 nucleotides long. RefSeq lists it as uncharacterized. NCBI's taxonomy places the organism in Eukaryota, Metazoa, Arthropoda, Insecta, Diptera, Syrphidae. The transcript has 2 exons. The record is from RefSeq and is a predicted model, not a curated record.